RNAcentral lists this transfer RNA (70 nucleotides) under Anableps anableps (largescale foureyes). Its description in RNAcentral is "tRNA-Ile". It matches the Rfam family "tRNA". Rfam says of the family: Transfer RNA (tRNA) molecules are approximately 80 nucleotides in length. Their secondary structure includes four short double-helical elements and three loops (D, anti-codon, and T loops). The record is from RNAcentral. Lineage: Eukaryota; Metazoa; Chordata; Actinopteri; Cyprinodontiformes; Anablepidae.
GGCGCCGUGCCUGAACCAAAGGGCCACUUUGAUAGAGUGAACUAUGAGGGUUCAAGUCCCUCCGGCUCCU